Molecule: ribosomal RNA, 253 nt
Filed under: uncultured bacterium
Lineage: Bacteria
Description: partial 16S ribosomal RNA
Rfam family: Bacterial small subunit ribosomal RNA
Source: RNAcentral
UACGUAGGGGGCUAGCGUUGUCCGGAAUCAUUGGGCGUAAAGCGCGUGUAGGCGGUCCGGUAAGUCCGCUGUGAAAGUCGGGGGCUCAACCCUCGAAUGCCGGUGGAUACUGUCGGGCUAGAGUACGGAAGAGGCGAGUGGAAUUCCUGGUGUAGCGGUGAAAUGCGCAGAUAUCAGGAAGAACACCCGUGGCGAAGGCGGUUCUCUGGGACGGUACUGACGCUGAGACGCGAAAGCGUGGGGAGCGAACAGG